UACGAGGGGGGCGAGCGUUGUUCGGAAUUAUUGGGCGUAAAGAGCUCGUAGGCGGUUUGUCGCGUCUGCUGUGAAAACCUAAGGCUCAACCUUGGGCUUGCAGUGGGUACGGGCAGACUAGAGUGCGGUAGGGGUGACUGGAAUUCCUGGUGUAGCGGUGGAAUGCGCAGAUAUCAGGAGGAACACCGGUGGCGAAGGCGGGUCUCUGGGCAGUAACUGACGCUGAGGAGCGAAAGCGUGGGGAGCGAACAGG
RNAcentral lists this ribosomal RNA (253 nucleotides) under uncultured bacterium. RNAcentral's name for it is "partial 16S ribosomal RNA". It matches the Rfam family "Bacterial small subunit ribosomal RNA", at positions 524 to 776 of the family's 1533-position model. The record is from RNAcentral.